Non-coding RNA from Acanthosepion pharaonis, 111 nucleotides. The record is from the annotation of a GenBank genome assembly. Lineage: Eukaryota; Metazoa; Mollusca; Cephalopoda; Sepiida; Sepiidae.
UACAGCCAGAUCACGUUGAAACAUUGGUUCCCGUACGAACUCUGAAGUUAAGCAACGUCGAGUCUGGUCACUACCUUAAUGGGUAACAAUUUGGGCAAUACCAGGUGCUGG